UACGGAGGGUGCGAGCGUUGUCCGGAAUCACUGGGUGUAAAGGGCGCGUAGGCGGCCCGGCAAGUCAGUGGUGAAAGUCCGGGGCUCAACCUCGGAUCGGCCGUGGCGACUCGUGGGCUGGAGCACUGUAGAGGCGGGUGGAAUUCCGGGUGUAGCGGUGGAAUGCGUAGAGAUCCGGAAGAACACCAGUGGCGAAGGCGGCCCGCUGGGCAGUGGCUGACGCUGAGGCGCGACAGCGUAGGGAGCAACAGG
This 252-nucleotide ribosomal RNA is filed under the name uncultured bacterium. Its description in RNAcentral is "partial 16S ribosomal RNA". It matches the Rfam family "Bacterial small subunit ribosomal RNA", at positions 524 to 775 of the family's 1533-position model. The record is from RNAcentral.